Molecule: unclassified non-coding RNA, 342 nt
Filed under: soil metagenome
Description: partial contains 5.8S ribosomal RNA, internal transcribed spacer 2, and large subunit ribosomal RNA
Rfam family: 5.8S ribosomal RNA (bases 1-120)
Source: RNAcentral
GAUGAAGAACGUAGCGAAAUGCGAUAAGUAAUGUGAAUUGCAGAAUUCAGUGAAUCAUCGAAUCUUUGAACGCACAUUGCGCCCGCCAGCAUUCUGGCGGGCAUGCCUGUUCGAGCGUCAUUUCAACCCUCGACCUCCCCUUGGGGAGGUCGGCGUUGGGGACCGGCAGCACACCGCCGGCCCUGAAAUGGAGUGGCGGCCCGUCCGCGGCGACCUCUGCGCAGUAAUACAGCUCGCACCGGGACCCCGACGCGGCCACGCCGUAAAACACCCAACUUCUGAACGUUGACCUCGAAUCAGGUAGGACUACCCGCUGAACUUAAGCAUAUCAAUAACGGAGGA